Molecule: ribosomal RNA, 468 nt
Filed under: uncultured bacterium
Lineage: Bacteria
Description: partial 16S ribosomal RNA
Rfam family: Bacterial small subunit ribosomal RNA
Source: RNAcentral
GACGAACGCUGGCGGCGUGCUUAACACAUGCAAGUCGAACGGAAAGGCCCUGCUUUUGUGGGGUGCUCGAGUGGCGAACGGGUGAGUAACACGUGAGUAACCUGCCCUUGACUUUGGGAUAACUUCAGGAAACUGGGGCUAAUACCGGAUAGGAGCUCCUGCUGCAUGGUGGGGGUUGGAAAGUUUCGGCGGUUGGGGAUGGACUCGGGGCUUAUCAGCUUGUUGGUGGGGUAGUGGCUUACCAAGGCUUUGACGGGUAGCCGGCCUGAGAGGGUGACCGGCCACAUUGGGACUGAGAUACGGCCCAGACUCCUACGGGAGGCAGCAGUGGGGAAUAUUGCACAAUGGGCUGAAGCCUGAUGCAGCAACGCCGCGUGCGGGAUGACGGCCUUCGGGUUGUAAACCGCUUUCGCCUGUGACGAAGCGUGAGUGACGGUAAUGGGUAAAGAAGCACCGGCUAACUACGUG